CAAAGAGUAGCUUAACAUUAAAGCAUUCAACUUACAAUUGAAAAACGUCAAUAUACAACCUGGCCUCUUUGC
This 72-nucleotide transfer RNA is filed under the name Platysaurus monotropis. RNAcentral's name for it is "tRNA-Val". It matches the Rfam family "tRNA". Rfam says of the family: Transfer RNA (tRNA) molecules are approximately 80 nucleotides in length. The record is from RNAcentral. Lineage: Eukaryota; Metazoa; Chordata; Lepidosauria; Squamata; Cordylidae.